Molecule: ribosomal RNA, 253 nt
Filed under: uncultured bacterium
Lineage: Bacteria
Description: partial 16S ribosomal RNA
Rfam family: Bacterial small subunit ribosomal RNA
Source: RNAcentral
UACGAAGGGGGCUAGCGUUGUUCGGAAUCACUGGGCGUAAAGGGCGCGUAGGCGGCCGAUCAAGUCGGGGGUGAAAGCCUGUGGCUCAACCACAGAAUUGCCCUCGAUACUGUUUGGCUUGAGACCGGAAGAGGUUAGUGGAACUGCGAGUGUAGAGGUGAAAUUCGUAGAUAUUCGCAAGAACACCAGUGGCGAAGGCGGCUGACUGGUCCGGUUCUGACGCUGAGGCGCGAAAGCGUGGGGAGCAAACAGG